Nicotiana tabacum (common tobacco) is the source of this 501-nucleotide long non-coding RNA. RefSeq lists it as uncharacterized. The record is from RefSeq and is a predicted model, not a curated record. NCBI's taxonomy places the organism in Eukaryota, Viridiplantae, Streptophyta, Magnoliopsida, Solanales, Solanaceae.
AGCAAAAAUACACUCACAAAAAAAUUUCGUAAAGCGUGAAUUACUAUUCUAAAUAUGGCAUUUCUUAAGUUCGGUUUCAUUUACGCAAUUGUUGUAAUGUCAGCCACUGUUAAUUUGAUGGAGUUCUCCAAGAUACAAGUAAUGGCUGCACGAGAUGUUGAUAAUGAUCUCUCAAAAAUCCAAGGAAGAUUACUCCCGCAACUUAAUACUUGUUUCAGAUCUUGUACGUCUAAUAGUGAUUGCAGCGACUGUUGGGUUUGUUGUUCCUGUGAUUACAUUACAUUCUAUACUUUCCAGUGCGGUAUUGGAGGGGGAUCACAUGUAUAACUCUAAAAUCCCAUUGAAACAAUCUGCUACAAAACAAUGUUACACAUUUAUGAUUUCAUGUAAUUUCUAUGUUUUCUUCCUUGUUUCAUUUCUCGUGUUUACCAUGUAUUGUGAGAAUAAUAAAGAAUGUCAAGUGAUGGCAUCAGAUUCAAGAAUAAAAAUAUAUUCAAAUCA